Small nucleolar RNA from Apteryx haastii (Great spotted kiwi), 127 nucleotides. The record is from Ensembl. Lineage: Eukaryota; Metazoa; Chordata; Aves; Apterygiformes; Apterygidae.
UUGCACUGUUCGUAACCUGUUAACAGCAUCUUCCUGAUAAUGGGUUCCAUUCCAGUGCUACAUCAUUCCCCAAGAUAAUAGAAGCUGGCUGUUUUUCUGCCUGUCCCCUUUAUUUUGGGGGACAUAA